RNAcentral lists this ribosomal RNA (492 nucleotides) under uncultured bacterium. RNAcentral's name for it is "partial 16S ribosomal RNA". It matches the Rfam family "Bacterial small subunit ribosomal RNA", at positions 30 to 507 of the family's 1533-position model. The record is from RNAcentral.
AUUGAACGCUGGCGGCAUGCUUUACACAUGCAAGUCGAACGGUAACAGGCCUUCGGGUGCUGACGAGUGGCGAACGGGUGAGUAAUGCAUCGGAACGUACCCAGAGGUGGGGGAUAACGCAGCGAAAGCUGUGCUAAUACCGCAUGUGAUCUGAGGAUGAAAGCGGGGGACCGAGCAGCAAUGUUUGGCCUCGCGCCUUUGGAGCGGCCGAUGUCGGAUUAGCUAGUUGGUGGGGUAAAGGCCUACCAAGGCGACGAUCCGUAGCUGGUCUGAGAGGACGACCAGCCACACUGGGACUGAGAAACGGCCCAGACUCCUACGGGAGGCAGCAGUGGGGAAUUUUGGACAAUGGGCGCAAGCCUGAUCCAGCAAUGCCGCGUGCGGGAAGAAGGCCUUCGGGUUGUAAUCCGCUUUUGGCAGGAACGAAACGGUGUCCGCUAAUACCGGGCGCUAAUGACGGUACCUGCAGAAUAAGCACCGGCUAACUACGUG